GACGAACGCUGGCGGCGUGCUUAACACAUGCAAGUCGAACGGAAAGGCCCUGCUUUUGUGGGGUGCUCGAGUGGCGAACGGGUGAGUAACACGUGAGUAACCUGCCCUUGACUUUGGGAUAACUUCAGGAAACUGGGGCUAAUACCGGAUAGGAGCUCCUGCUGCAUGGUGGGGGUUGGAAAGUUUCGGCGGUUGGGGAUGGACUCGCGGCUUAUCAGCUUGUUGGUGGGGUAGUGGCUUACCAAGGCGUUGACGGGUAGCCGGCCUGAGUGGGUGACCGGCCACAUUGGGACUGAGAUACGGCCCAGACUCCGACGGGAGGCAGCAGUGGGGAAUAUUGCACAAUGGGCGGAAUCCUGAUGCAGCAACGCCGCGUGCGAGAUGACGGCCUUCGGGUUGUAAACCGCUUUCGCCUGUGACGAAGCGUGAGUGACGGUAAUGGGUAAAGAAGCACCGGCUAACUACGUG
Molecule: ribosomal RNA, 468 nt
Filed under: uncultured bacterium
Lineage: Bacteria
Description: partial 16S ribosomal RNA
Rfam family: Bacterial small subunit ribosomal RNA
Source: RNAcentral